Molecule: ribosomal RNA, 274 nt
Filed under: uncultured bacterium
Lineage: Bacteria
Description: partial 16S ribosomal RNA
Rfam family: Bacterial small subunit ribosomal RNA
Source: RNAcentral
AGACGGAGGGUGCAAGCGUUAAUCGGAAUUACUGGGCGUAAAGCGCUCGUAGGCGGCUUGUUAAGUCGGAUGUGAAAGCCCUGGGCUCAACCUGGGAACUGCAUUCGAUACUGGCAGGCUAGAGUAUAGUAGAGGCAAGUGGAAUUCCGGGUGUAGCGGUGAAAUGCGUAGAUAUCCGGAGGAACAUCAGUGGCGAAGGCGACUUGCUGGACUAAUACUGACGCUGAGGAGCGAAAGCGUGGGGAGCAAACGGGAUUAGAUACCCCGGUAGUCC